CUACGUGCCAGCAGCCGCGGUCAUACGUAGGAUCCGAGCAUUAUCCGGAGUGACUGGGUGUAAAGAGUUGCGUAGGUGGCAAGAUAAGUAGAUAGUGAAAUCUGGUGGCUCAACCAUUCAGACUAUUAUCUAAACUAUCUAGCUCGAGACUGUUAUGGGUAACUGGAAUUUCUAGUGUAGGAGUGAAAUCCGUAGAUAUUAGAAGGAACACCGAUAGCGUAGGCAGGUUACUGGGACAGUUCUGACACUAAGGCACGAAAGCGUAGGGAGCAAACGGGAUUAGAUACCCCGGUAGUCUACGCCGUAAACGAUGGAUACUAGCAGUUUUGGGUAUCGACCCCCGGAGUUGCGAAGCUAACGCGUUAAGUAUCCCACCUGUGUAGUACGAUCGCAAGAUUAAAACAUAAAGGAAUUGACGGGGACCCGCACAAGCGGUGGAGCGUGAUCUUUAAUUCGAUGGUAAACGAUAAACCUUACCAAGGCUU
Molecule: ribosomal RNA, 485 nt
Filed under: uncultured bacterium
Lineage: Bacteria
Description: bacterial SSU rRNA
Rfam family: Bacterial small subunit ribosomal RNA
Source: RNAcentral